GUGUUCACUUCAGCAGCACAUAUACUAAAACUGGAAUGACACAGAGAUUAGAAUGUCCCUGUACAAGGAUGACAUGCAAAUCCAUGAGGCAUUCCAUCGUUUG
Molecule: small nuclear RNA, 103 nt
Organism: Eptesicus fuscus (big brown bat)
Lineage: Eukaryota; Metazoa; Chordata; Mammalia; Chiroptera; Vespertilionidae
Source: RefSeq, a predicted model, not a curated record